Molecule: ribosomal RNA, 253 nt
Filed under: uncultured bacterium
Lineage: Bacteria
Description: partial 16S ribosomal RNA
Rfam family: Bacterial small subunit ribosomal RNA
Source: RNAcentral
UACGGGGGGGGCAAGCGUUGUUCGGAAUUACUGGGCGUAAAGGGCUCGUAGGCGGCCAACUAAGUCAGACGUGAAAUCCCUCGGCUUAACCGGGGAACGGCCUCUGAUACUGGCUGGCUGGAGUUCGGGAGAGGGAUGCGGAAUUCCAGGUGUAGCGGUGAAAUGCGUAGAUAUCUGGAGGAACACCGGUGGCGAAGGCGGCAUCCUGGACCGACACUGACGCUGAGGCGCGAAAGCCAGGGGAGCAAACGGG